GUACAGCGGCGCAAGGAACAGUGUAGUUUACCGUUCACGUCGACCAGUUCGCAGACGCGUUUAUCGUAAUUCGAGUGGGCGAUCGUUUUUCGCCCGAUUCGCGACACACAAGCAAGUACGCCUCGACCCCCAGCGAACACAUUAUUAUCGUGUCGAACACUAUAGCUUGGCGGUUUUCCGACAGAUCGUGUACGAGUAUGUGUCUGGGACCUGGGUACGACACGCGCGGAAUGAUAAUAUUGCAGAAAGUGCUAUAUGCGGUAGCAAACCACGGCGACAAAACGGAACGUUUUCUGGAAAUAUUGACAUCGACGUUUGUGUAAACAUAUUUUAGCUGCAGGAUAAAAAUAGUACACGCCAAUCCAAAAUCGUUAAUUACUAAUUGAAAGUCGCAUUCUGUCAGGCCCUGAUGCUGCAGACGACGCGGAGAUCAAUACCAAUUAUAUGGACGUAUUAAGCAGUAUCCGCCACUUAUUCGGCCUGCGAUGGGAUACUGGAAUAUCAGCUGCUCUCAUCACGACAUAUACAUAUAACUUGCUAUUGUGCUGCAUCGGAGAAUUCAAUAAAAUCUAAUCCGUUAUCGGGUAAACGGCAUACGGAGUUUACUGAGACUGUACGCAAAAA
Molecule: long non-coding RNA, 624 nt
Organism: Rhopalosiphum padi (bird cherry-oat aphid)
Lineage: Eukaryota; Metazoa; Arthropoda; Insecta; Hemiptera; Aphididae
Exons: 3
Source: RefSeq, a predicted model, not a curated record